UAUUAAAAAUUUCAUCUAUUUCUAUUGUUAAAAAUUGGCAUUGCUGGCAAAAUAACCAAACAGCUACGUGUGGCACGUCAUAUGUGCCUCAUUUAGACAUAAAAGGACCAAUUUUUAACAGUAAAAAUAGAUGAAAUUUUUAAUA
Gossypium raimondii (Peruvian cotton) is the source of this 145-nucleotide non-coding RNA. The record is from Rfam. Lineage: Eukaryota; Viridiplantae; Streptophyta; Magnoliopsida; Malvales; Malvaceae.